AUGGGAUUAGCUUGUUGGUGGGGUAACGGCUCACCAAGGCGACGAUCCCUAGCUGGUCUGAGAGGAUGACCAGCCACACUGGAACUGAGACACGGUCCAGACUCCUACGGGAGGCAGCAGUGGGGAAUAUUGCACAAUGGGCGCAAGCCUGAUGCAGCCAUGCCGCGUGUAUGAAGAAGGCCUUCGGGUUGUAAAGUACUUUCAGCGGGGAGGAAGGGAGUAAAGUUAAUACCUUUGCUCAUUGACGUUACCCGCAGAAGAAGCACCGGCUAACUCCGUGCCAGCAGCCGCGGUAAUACGGAGGGUGCAAGCGUUAAUCGGAAUUACUGGGCGUAAAGCGCACGCAGGCGGUUUGUUAAGUCAGAUGUGAAAUCCCCGGGCUCAACCUGGGAACUGCAUCUGAUACUGGCAAGCUUGAGUCUCGUAGAGGGGGGUGGAGUUCCAGGUGUAGCGGUGAAAUGCGUAGAGAUCUGGAGGAAUACCGGUGGCGAAGGCGGCCCCCUGGACGAAGACUGACGCUCAGGUGCGAAAGCGUGGGGAGCAAACAGGAUUAGAUACCCUGGUAGUCCACGCCGUAAACGAUGUCGACUUGGAGGUUGUGCCCUUGAGGCGUGUCUUCCGGAGCUAACGCGUUAAGUCGACCGCCUGGGGAGUACGGCCGCAAGGUUAAAACUCAAAUGAAUUGACGGGGGCCCGCACAAGCGGUGGAGCAUGUGGUUUAAUUCGAUGCAACGCGAAGAACCUUACCUGGUCUUGACAUCCACGGAAGUUUUCAGAGAUGAGAAUGUGCCUUCGGGAACCGUGAGACAGGUGCUGCAUGGCUGUCGUCAGCUCGUGUUGUGAAAUGUUGGGUUAAGUCCCGCAACGAGCGCAACCCUUAUCCUUUGUUGCCAGCGGUCCGGCCGGGAACUCAAAGGAGACUGCCAGUGAUAAACUGGAGGAAGGUGGGGAUGACGUCAAGUCAUCAUGGCCCCUUACGACCAGGGCUACACACGUGCUACAAUGGCGCAUACAAAGAGAAGCGACCUCGCGAGAGCAAGCGGACCUCAUAAAGUGCGUCGUAGUCCGGAUUGGAGUCUGCAACUCGACUCCAUGAAGUCGGAAUCGCUAGUAAUCGUGGAUCAGAAUGCCACGGUGAAUACGUUCCCGGGCCUUGUACACACCGCCCGUCACACCAUGGGAGUGGGUUGCAAAAGAAGUAGGUAGCUUAACCUUCGGGAGGGCGCUUACCACUUUGUGAUUCAUGACUGGGGUGAAGUCGGAACAAGGUA
This 1271-nucleotide ribosomal RNA is filed under the name metagenome. RNAcentral describes it as "bacterial SSU rRNA". It matches the Rfam family "Bacterial small subunit ribosomal RNA", at positions 235 to 1498 of the family's 1533-position model. The record is from RNAcentral.